ACACUCCUACGGGAGGCAGCAGUGGGGAAUUUUGGACAAUGGGCGAAAGCCUGAUCCAGCAAUGCCGCGUGAGUGAAGAAGGCCUUCGGGUUGUAAAGCUCUUUUGUCAGGGAAGAAACGGUGAAAGCUAAUAUCUUUUGCUAAUGACGGUACCUGAAGAAUAAGCACCGGCUAACUACGUGCCAGCAGCCUCGGUAAUACGUAGGGUGCAAGCGUUAAUCGGAAUUACUGGGCGUAAAGCGUGCGCAGGCGGUUUUGUAAGUCUGAUGUGAAAUCCCCGGGCUCAACCUGGGAAUUGCAUUGGAGACUGCAAGGCUAGAAUCUGGCAGAGGGGGGUAGAAUUCCACGUGUAGCAGUGAAAUGCGUAGAUAUGUGGAGGAACACCGAUGGCGAAGGCAGCCCCCUGGGUCAAGAUUGACGCUCAUGCACGAAAGCGUGGGGAGCAAACAGGAUUAGAAACCCUUGUAGUCCA
This 472-nucleotide ribosomal RNA is filed under the name uncultured organism. Its description in RNAcentral is "partial 16S ribosomal RNA". It matches the Rfam family "Bacterial small subunit ribosomal RNA", at positions 333 to 797 of the family's 1533-position model. The record is from RNAcentral.